Molecule: ribosomal RNA, 463 nt
Filed under: uncultured bacterium
Lineage: Bacteria
Description: partial 16S ribosomal RNA
Rfam family: Bacterial small subunit ribosomal RNA
Source: RNAcentral
UGACCGCUGGCGGCGUGCUUAACACAUGCACGUCGAACGGAAAGGCUCCUGCUUGCAGGGGUACUCGAGUGGCGAACGGGUGAGUAACACGUGGGUGAUCUGCCCUGCACUUCGGGAUAAGCCUGGGAAACUGGGUCUAAUACCGGAUAGGACGAUGGUUUGGAUGCCAUUGUGGAAAGUUUUUCGGUGUGGGAUGAGCUCGCGGCCUAUCAGCUUGUUGGUGGGGUAAUGGCCUACCAAGGCGUCGACGGGUAGCCGGCCUGAGAGGGUGUACGGCCACAUUGGGACUGAGAUACGGCCCAGACUCCUACGGGAGGCAGCAGUGGGGAAUAUUGCACAAUGGGCGCAAGCCUGAUGCAGCGACGCCGCGUGGGGGAUGACGGCCUUCGGGUUGUAAACUCCUUUCGCUAGGGACGAAGCGCAAGUGACGGUACCUGGAGAAGAAGCACCGGCUAACUACGUG